AACGAACGCUGGCGGCAUGCCUAACACAUGCAAGUCGAACGAGACCUUCGGGUCUAGUGGCGCACGGGUGCGUAACGCGUUGGAACCUGCCCUUAGGUUCGGAAUAACUCCCCGAAAGGGGUGCUAAUACCGGAUAAUGUCUUCGGACCAAAGAUUUAUCGCCUUUGGAUGGGCCCGCGUUGGAUUAGCUAGUUGGUAGGGUAAAAGCCUACCAAGGCGACGAUCCAUAGCUGGUCUGAGAGGAUGAUCAGCCACACUGGGACUGAGACACGGCCCAGACUCCUACGGGAGGCAGCAGUGGGGAAUAUUGGACAAUGGGCGAAAGCCUGAUCCAGCAAUGCCGCGUGAGUGAUGAAGGCCUUAGGGUUGUAAAGCUCUUUUACCCGGGAUGAUAAUGACAGUACCGGGAGAAUAAGCUCCGGCUAACUCCGUG
RNAcentral lists this ribosomal RNA (433 nucleotides) under uncultured bacterium. RNAcentral describes it as "partial 16S ribosomal RNA". It matches the Rfam family "Bacterial small subunit ribosomal RNA", at positions 29 to 507 of the family's 1533-position model. The record is from RNAcentral.